This is a long non-coding RNA of Oncorhynchus keta (chum salmon), 486 nucleotides long. RefSeq lists it as uncharacterized. The record is from RefSeq and is a predicted model, not a curated record. The transcript has 3 exons. NCBI's taxonomy places the organism in Eukaryota, Metazoa, Chordata, Actinopteri, Salmoniformes, Salmonidae.
GGUCUACUACACCUGUUGUAUUCGGCAUUUCACUGUGAGGUCUACUACACCUGUUGUAUUCAGCAUUUCACUGUAAGGUCUACUACACCUGUUGUAUUCAGCAUUUCACUGUAAGGUCUACUACACCUGUUGUAUUCAGCAUUUCACUGUGAGGUCUACUACACCUGUUGUAUUCAGCAUUUCACUGUGAGGUCUACUACACCUGUUGUAUUCAGCAUUUCACUGUGAGGUCUACUACACCUGUUGUAUUCGGCAUUUCACUGUGAGGUCUACUACACCUGUUGUAUUCAGCAUUUCACUGUGAGGUCUACUACACCUGUUGUAUUCAGCAUUUCACUGUGAGGUCUACUACACCUGUUGUAUUCAGCAUUUCACUGUGAGGUCUACUACACCUGUUGUAUUCGGCAUUUCACUGUGAGGUCUACUACACCUGUUGUAUUCGGCAUUUCACUGUGAGGUCUACUACACCUGUUGUAUUCAGCAUUU